GGCGGCAUGCUUAACACAUGCAAGUCGAACGAGGUCCCCGGGCUUGCCCGGGAUCACCGAGUGGCGAACGGGUGAGUAACGCGUGGGAACCUGCCUUGCGGCGGGGAAUAACUGCUGGAAACGGCAGCUAAUACCGCAUACGCUCUUUGGAGGAAAGGCUUCGGCCACCGCUUGAGGGUCCCGCGUCCGAUUAGUUUGUUGGUGAGGUAACGGCUCACCAAGGCGACGAUCGGUAGCUGGUCUGAGAGGAUGAUCAGCCACACUGGGACUGAGACACGGCCCAGACUCCUACGGGAGGCAGCAGUGGGGAAUAUUGGACAAUGGGGGCAACCCUGAUCCAGCAAUGCCGCGUGUGUGAAGAAGGCCUUAGGGUUGUAAAGCACUUUCACCCGUGAAGAUGAUGACGGUAGCGGGAGAAGAAGCUCCGGCUAACUCCGUGCCAGCAGCCGCGGUAAUACGGAGGGGGCUAGCGUUGCUCGGAAUUACUGGGCGUAAAGCGCACGUAGGCGGCUAAUCCAGUUAGGCGUGAAAGGCCUGGGCUUAACCUAGGAACUGCGCUUAAUACUGAUUGGCUAGAAUCCGAGAGAGGGUAGUGGAAUUCCCAGUGUAGAGGUGAAAUUCGUAGAUAUUGGGAAGAACACCAGUGGCGAAGGCGGCUACCUGGCUCGGUAUUGACGCUGAGGUGCGAAAGCGUGGGGAGCGAACAGGAUUAGAUACCCUGGUAGUCCACGCCGUAAACGAUGAGUGCUAGUUGUCGGGCAGCAUGCUGUUCGGUGACACAGCNAACGC
Molecule: ribosomal RNA, 789 nt
Filed under: uncultured Alphaproteobacteria bacterium
Lineage: Bacteria; Pseudomonadati; Pseudomonadota; Alphaproteobacteria
Description: SSU rRNA
Rfam family: Bacterial small subunit ribosomal RNA
Source: RNAcentral